This is an RNA transcript of Acinonyx jubatus (cheetah), 1881 nucleotides long. It is a transcript of the gene named patatin like phospholipase domain containing 4, with no coding region annotated. The transcript is spliced from 7 exons. The record is from RefSeq and is a predicted model, not a curated record. NCBI's taxonomy places the organism in Eukaryota, Metazoa, Chordata, Mammalia, Carnivora, Felidae.
ACAAAGCCUAAGGAGCCUGAGGCUGUGCACGCUGCCCCAAGCCACAGUCCGGCCUUUCCAAUAAUGCUUACGGAACAAGUAGAGAGGGGCGCUGAAGAGCAGCCAGGCGUCCGACCACAAAGCCGCCCGUGGACCCCGCCCUUUGGGCCAGCAGGACCUCCCCUAAAGGGGAAGGGGGAGAAAAGGAGGAAAACCACUUCCGGGAGACAGCCGCGAAGAGGGCCAAGCACUUCCGCUCGAAUGAAGCACAUCAACCUGUCCUUUGCAGCAUGCGGGUUUCUGGGCAUUUACCACUUGGGGGCAGCAUCGGCACUUUACAGACAUGGCCGAAAGCUCCUGAAGGAUGUCAAGGCCUUUGCAGGGGCUUCUGCAGGAUCCUUGGUUGCUACCGUCCUACUAACAGCACCAGAAAGAAUAGAGGAAUGUAAUGAGUUUACCUACAAGUUUGCCGAAGAAAUCCGAAGGCAGUCUUUUGGGGCACUAACACCUGGCUAUGAUUUCAUGGCCCGAUUGAGAAGCGGAAUGGACUUGAUUCUCCCUGCCAAUGCUCAUGAGCUGGCCCACAACCGACUGCACGUAUCUGUCACCAACACGAAAACCAGACAAAAUUACCUGGUCUCAAAGUUUUCCUCCAGGGAGGACCUUAUUAAGGUUUGUCUAGCGUCACAGCUCACCAUUCUAUCAAGCCACACAUUUGAGGAGGAACGCGGGAGCACCUGGGCAGCUCAGCCAGUUAAGCGACUCUUGAUUUCAGCUCAGCUCAUGAUCUCACGGUUCAUGGGAUCAAGCACUAAGUUGGGCUGUGUGCUGACAGCGCAGAGCCUGCUUGGGAUUCUCUUUUUCCCUCUCUCUUUCCCCCUCCCCUGCUCGCUUUCUCCCUCUCUCUCAAAAUAAAUAAACAUCAAAAAUAGAAGAGGGAUGCUAAGGACAGGCAUGCCUACAGUCUUGUUUGUAGAUGGUUGACAAAUCUCAUGCAAGAUUGCCAUUGUACUUUGGUUUGAUGAUCUGUCGUCAACAUUUUGCAAUUCUUUUUUUUUAACUUUAUUUAUUGAUUUUGAGAGUGUGCAUGUAAGCAGGGGAGGUGGAGAGAGAGAGAGAGAGAGAGAGAGAGAGAGAGAAUCCUAAGCAAGCUCCAUGCUGUCAGCACAGAGCCCAAUGUGGGCCUCAAUCUCACAAACCAUGAGAUCAUGACCUGAGCAGAAAUGAAUAGUUGGAUGUUUAACUGACUGAGACACCCAGGCACCCCGACAUCUUGCAUUUCUUAAUACCUGUGUUUUCAUUUUUCACUGGGCACAAAAAUGACGUCGCUGGUUCGGGCACCCGGCACCAGCCUGGAACAAGAGUGAUAUGGGAUGCGUGUCAGUCCUUUCCUUCUUUCCUGCUAGAGUCUUGGUUUGUGCUGUUCUACUACUCACACCUGACGCCCCAGAUGUUUCCGGGCCACCUGUCAGGAGCCCGUUGCCAUGGGGACUGUUAGAACCUCAGCCCUUGUGCUCGACACGUCCCCAACAACAUGGGCGAAUCCUUGCUUGUCCCACUGAACCCCAUCAAGGGUGCUCAUCUGCAUUCCUGCCGUGGGGUCGGGGAGGUAAAACAGGCAUUUGUGGGGUGUGAGAAGGCCCGAGAAGGCCUGACCGACCAUGCAGGAGGCACAGACCCUGUCCCUUCAGCACUUUUCAGCAGCGAGGAGCCACGAGCCUUGGUAAGAGUUGGGACCACUGCACAGAGAAGCCAGUGCCAACUUCCAGGUUCUCCUGGCUAGCAGCUUCCUGCCCAUUUACGCGGGCCUGAAACCAGUGGAGUACAACGGGCAGAAGUGGGUGGAUGGAGGCCUCACCAACGGCCUUCCCAUCCUCCCUGUCGGCCGGACGGUGACCAUCU